CCUACGGGUGGCAGCAGUGGGGAAUAUUGCACAAUGGGGGAAACCCUGAUGCAGCGACGCCGCGUGAGUGAAGAAGUAUCUCGGUAUGUAAAGCUCUAUCAGCAGGGAAGAAAAAGAUGAUACCUCACUAAGAAGCCCCCGUUAACUACGUGCCAGCAGCCGCGGCAAUACGUAGGGGGAAAGCGUUAUCCGGAUUUACUGGGUGUAAGGGGAGCGUAGUCGGCGCUGCAAGUCGGGUGUGAAAGCCCAGGGCUUAACCAUGGUACUGCUCUGGUAACUGUGGAGCUUGAGUGCUGGAGGGGCAGGCGGAAUUCCUAGUGUAGCGGUGAAAUGCGUAGAUAUUAGGAAGAACACCGGCGGCGAAGGCGGCCUGCUGGACCGUAACUGACGUUGAGGCUCGAAAGCGUGGGGAGCAAACAGGAUUAGAUACCCCAGUAGUC
This 440-nucleotide ribosomal RNA is filed under the name uncultured bacterium. RNAcentral describes it as "partial 16S ribosomal RNA". It matches the Rfam family "Bacterial small subunit ribosomal RNA", at positions 338 to 795 of the family's 1533-position model. The record is from RNAcentral.